RNAcentral lists this ribosomal RNA (392 nucleotides) under uncultured bacterium. RNAcentral describes it as "partial 16S ribosomal RNA". It matches the Rfam family "Bacterial small subunit ribosomal RNA", at positions 523 to 918 of the family's 1533-position model. The record is from RNAcentral.
ACACGUAGGGGGCGAGCGUUGUUCGGAAUCAUUGGGCGUAAAGGGCGCGCAGGCGGCGAGGCAAGUCCGGUGUGAAAGUGCUCGGCUCAACCGAGUGAUGCGCUGGAAACUGCCCUGCUUGAGUACAGGAGGGGACGUCGGAAUUCCAGGGGUAGGGGUGAAAUCUGUAGAUAUCUGGAAGAACACCGGUGGCGAAGGCGGACGUCUGGCCAUGUACUGACGCUGAGGCGCGAAGGUGCGGGGAGCGAACAGGUUUAGAUACCCUGGUAGUCCGCACAGUAAACGAUGUGCACCAGGUGGCGGGGGGUAGCCCUCGGUACCGAAGCCAACGCAUUAAGUGCACCGCCUGGGGAGUAUGCUCGCAAGGGUGAAACUCAAAUGAAUUGGCGGGG